Molecule: ribosomal RNA, 497 nt
Filed under: uncultured bacterium
Lineage: Bacteria
Description: partial 16S ribosomal RNA
Rfam family: Bacterial small subunit ribosomal RNA
Source: RNAcentral
GAUGAACGCUGGCGGCGUGCCUAAUACAUGCAAGUCGAGCGAACGGACGAGAAGCUUGCUUUUCUGAUGUUAGCGGCGGACGGGUGAGUAACACGUGGAUAACCUACCUAUAAGACUGGGAUAACUUCGGGAAACCGGAGCUAAUACCGGAUAAUAUUUUGAACCGCAUGGUUCAAAAGUGAAAGACGGUCUUGCUGUCACUUAUAGAUGGAUCCGCGCUGCAUUAGCUAGUUGGUAAGGUAACGGCUUACCAAGGCAACUAUGCAUAGCCGACCUGAGAGGGUGAUCGGCCACACUGGAACUGAGACACGGUCCAGACUCCUACGGGAGGCAGCAGUAGGGAAUCUUCCGCAAUGGGCGAAAGCCUGACGGAGCAAUGCCGCGUGAGUGAUGAAGGUCUUCGGAUCGUAAAACUCUGUUAUUAGGGAAGAACACAUGUGUAAGUAACUGUGCACAUCUUGACGGUACCUAAUCAGAAAGCCACGGCUAACUACGUG